RNAcentral lists this long non-coding RNA (1038 nucleotides) under Cyanistes caeruleus (blue tit). RNAcentral's name for it is "lncRNA (ENSCCEG00000023005.1)". Lineage: Eukaryota; Metazoa; Chordata; Aves; Passeriformes; Paridae. The record is from RNAcentral.
CUGAUUGCUCUCCAUUUCCUGCUCAGCGCUGUCGCUCUUAAAAUCCACUUCAGCGCUGCCCGCCACCAUCAUCUCCUGCUGUUAAAUCCCUGUUCCGUGCCAUCCCUGCCUCCUUUGCCAUCCCUGUCUCCCGUGCCAUCCCCUGAGGGGCUGUGCUGCUGCCUCUGGCCCUGCUGGAGACACUGCAAUGUGCUCUUUGCUCUGUGCUCUUUGCCCUGUGCUCUUUGCCCUGUGAUCUUUGCCCUGUGCUCUGUGCUCUUUGCCCUGUGCUCUUUGCUCUGUGCUCUUUGCUCUGUGCUCUGUGCUCUGUGCUCUUUGCUCUGUGCUCUGUGCUCUGUGCUCUUUGCUCUUUGCUCUGUGCUCUUUGCCCUGUGCUCUGUGCUCUUUGCUCUUUGCUCUUUGCCCUGUGCUCUGUGCUCUGUGCUCUUUGCUCUGUGCUCUUUACUCUUUGCUCUGUGCUGUCCCUGCACCGCUGCCCUCCCACCCCUGCCAGGCUCCUCUGUCCCUGCCAGCUCCCCCCAGGGCUGCCCCGCUGCUUCCUUGAAACUUGUCCUGUACUUUACUUUGAAUGCAGCAGGGAGUCAGAAUUCCGCCCACUGUUCCCUUCUAUUCUUGGCCCUCCGCUUCCCUCACCUCCCAACCAAAAUCUGUUCUUCUUCUGAAAAUGGCUUUGGUUUUGUGACGGCGAGAAAGCAGCUCUCCCACGGGGGUUGUGGGGCCAUGGGCUGGCACCCCCGGCUCCAGCAGCCCGGCCCAGGGGCUGCCCUUGCCCUCCCUGCCCCCUCUCUCCAGCCACGCUCGGUGCCUGUGGCAGCAGUUCCGAGGCUCCUCCGAUCCCCGUUUGUCGCGUUUGUCGCCUGCCUUGUGCCAGCGCCACUGAAUGUCCGGGUAUUGGUGCUGGCAGUCAGCGCCGUGUCCGUGUUUUCCUCCCUUCGUGCCUGCGACUGCCGGGCGAGGCGGAACGCGCUGUUUGUCCCCUUUCCAAGUGUCUCUGUCGAAUCAACAAGAACAAAUUAUUCAUCUGCUGCGGGAGGCUAA